UAGCAUAUCAAUAAGCGGAGGAAAAGAAACUAACAAGGAUUCCCCUAGUAACUGCGAGUGAAGCGGGAAAAGCUCAAAUUUAAAAUCUGGCGGUCUCUGGCCGUCCGAGUUGUAAUCUAGAGAAGUGAUGCCCGCGCUGGACCGUGUACAAGUCUCCUGGAAUGGAGCGUCAUAGAGGGUGAGAAUCCCGUCUCUGACACGGACUACCAGGGCUUUGUGGUACGCUCUCAAAGAGUCGAGUUGUUUGGGAAUGCAGCUCAAAAUGGGUGGUAAAUUCCAUCUAAAGCUAAAUAUUGGCGAGAGACCGAUAGCGAACAAGUACCGUGAGGGAAAGAUGAAAAGAACUUUGGAAAGAGAGUUAAACAGUACGUGAAAUUGCUGAAAGGGAAACGCUUGAAGUCAGUCGCGUUGGCCGGGGAUCAGCCUCGCUUUUGCGUGGUGUACUUUCCGGUUGACGGGUCAGCAUCAAUUUUGACCGCUGGAAAAAGGCUUGAGGAAUGUGGCAGCUCCGGCUGUGUUAUAGCUUCUUGUCACAUACAGCGGUUGGGAUUGAGGUACUCAGCACGCCGCAAGGCCGGGUUUCGACCACGUUCGUGCUUAGGAUGCUGGCAUAAUGGCUUUAAGCGACCCGUCUUGAAACACGGACCAAGGAGUCUAACAUGCCUGCGAGUGUUUGGGUGGAAAACCCGAGCGCGUAAUGAAAGUGAAAGUUGAGAUCCCUGUCGCGGGGAGCAUCGACGCCCGGACCAGAACUUUUGGGACGGAUCCGCGGUAGAGCAUGUAUGUUGGGACCCGAAAGAUGGUGAACUAUGCCUGAAUAGGGUGAAGCCAGAGGAAACUCUGGUGGAGGCUCGUAGCGAUUCUGACGUGCAAAUCGAUCGUCAAAUUUGGGUAUAGGGGCGAAAGACUAAUCGAACCAUCUAGUAGCUGGUUCCUGCCGAGCUCCUCUCUCCGAGAAUAA
This 961-nucleotide ribosomal RNA is filed under the name Leucocoprinus sp. RNAcentral's name for it is "partial large subunit ribosomal RNA". It matches the Rfam family "Eukaryotic large subunit ribosomal RNA", at positions 36 to 983 of the family's 3401-position model. The record is from RNAcentral. Lineage: Eukaryota; Fungi; Basidiomycota; Agaricomycetes; Agaricales; Agaricaceae.